AUUUUAAGGGGGAAAAACGUGUUCUUUCCUUCCUGUAGGCUUGUGUACUGACUGCACAGGAAGAAAUAAUCAACCUAGUUUAUUCUGAACCCAGUCAGUUCCUGACCACAUUCCGUAAAUGCAGGCAUUUGGAAGAAAACAAACUGAUCCACAGGUAACAGAAACCAAAACCUGUGCCGAUGGAGAGAUAGGAAACUGUGACUAAAUGAUUCCAGAAUUCAUGUCAGAUGUCAAAUCUCUAGCCAUUUAAGUAACACAAUCUUGGGGCAGGCACUGUGGUGCAGCAGGUUAAAGCCCUGGCCUGAAGCGACGGCAUCCUAUAUGGGUGCCGGUUCUAGUCCUGGCUGCUUGUCUUCCGAUCCAGCUCUCUGCUGAUGGCCUGGGAAAGCAGUAGAAGAUGGCCCAAGUCCUUGGGCCCCUGUACCCAUGUGGGAGACCUGGAAGAAGCUCCUGGCUCCUGGCUUUGGAUCGGCACAGCUCCAGCCAUUGCAGCCAUCUGAGGAGUGAAUCAGCAGAUGGAAGACCUCUCUCUGUGUCUCUACCUCUCUCGCUAAAAAGGUGAUUAUGCUGAGUGUUAUUGUUAAGAAAUCGGGAAUGAAGAAAGAAAAAAUGAAUGCCAAUGGUAUAAUUAGAAGACAUAUUUAUAAAUAUGAGGGUGCAAAACCUGUUGUAUAGAUCCAGCUCUCUGCUGUGGCCUGGGUAAGCAGUAGAAGAUGGCUCAUGUCCUUGGGCCCCUGCUCCAGCGUGGGAGACCAGGAAGAAGCUCCUGGCUCCUGGCUUCGGAUCAGCGCAGCUCCGGCCAUUGCGGCCAUUUGGGGAGUGAACCAACAGAAGGAAGACCUUUCUCUCUGUCACUCCCUUUCUCUGCGCUGACACAUAUACUCCUGCAACGUGUACAUAGGAAGGGCAUAGAAGCCAAUCAUUAUGAUAAUAUGUGCCUUUUUAGAACCUGCUCAAUCCAACAAACAAAAAUAUCAACGAAAUCACACCACAAGUUGCACUGAAACAAGGCCCUCUCUAUCAAGGCCACCUGGGAGAUUGCUUCGACAUAACAUAGAAAUCCUGUUGCCUAGAUGAGAAAGUCUACACGUCUUGAGCCGAAGAUUUUUCAGAACUUGAUGACAGAAGGUUUUCAGCCACGCUCCUGCUUUCUUUACCAAAUACCCCAUUUAUUGCUUUGAAAUUGGCCUUUUCCUUUACAUGUCUUGCUCUGAGAACAUUGUGCUCAGAGAAAUGGGGAAUGAGAGACUGUUCUAAUUUAAACUCUAGUAUGUCUCUGAAUCUUUAUGUUUCCUCUUAAUCUUCUGGAAGAAUGGAAUGCUUAUCUCUAAAUUACUUCUUGUUUCUUAUUUUAUCUUAAAGACCUAUGAGAAGUCAGCUGACAAUUUCUAUGUUCUGCCUGGAAUUCUCCCCAGUGAGAUGGAUGGCUCCUUAGCUGUCCUGUCUUUGCUUCAUUUAACUGUAGAGAAGAGCUGAGAAACAUUUUACCACUAGAUAAAAGGAAGUUCUUGCUCUAAACACUGUGUGUUUCACAUAUGAUCUUUCAACUCCAUGCUAGUAGUCAUUUCAAGGCCUCUCCAGCAUCCAAAAAUGUUCUUCAAAUUUUUUUUAGUUUCUACCUGAUGCCACCAACUCAGUGACACUUGUUUUAAGUUUGAAUAGACAAAGGUCCCCACUUCUUGCAAACAGAUUCUGUUCUGAUCAUCUGUUGCUGCAAAAUAAAUAAUGCCCAAAAUAGCAGGUAAAAGCAAUAAUAAUUUUAUUCUAUCACUUGAUUUUGUGGAUCAGGAAUUUGAUGGGAACUAAGGCAAUUUUUUCAUUACAUUGCUGAGGUUGCUUGGUGGUUUUCAUCUGGCAGAGGCUGUAUAGUUGGUCAGCUGUGGCUGCUCACACAUCUGUAGCCUUCAGGAGGAUGCCUGGAAGCCUGUUCUCACUGGGACUAUCCACUAGUUUGCCUAAGUAUGGUCUCACUAGCUCCAAAGACAGUAUCUGGGUAGAUACAGAAGGCUUCUAAUUACCCAGCCUGGGAAGUCCUAUCAAGUCUUUUCCACUGUAUUCUCUCAGUCCAGUAAGUCACUACAAGCUAGAUUCAAAUGCAGAAAAUUUUACAUUAUCUUUUGAUGAAAGAAAGAGCAAAUAAUUUGCAGUCAUUUCUAAUGUACUACACAUUUCUAUGACACAAAAUCAUUUUAUACAAGGAUUAAUCUUUACAUAGGGUUUGAACAUGUUCUACAUGAAGGUUGUUUUGAAAUAAGUAGUUAAUGCCCCCAAUAAAUAAUGCUGUUGUAUUUAAGAUCCAUAUCAUUAAUUUUCAUGAGGAAAUUCUGAGUGGUAAAAUAACUAGUCUACAAAUACGUGUUUAAAAUCAUCACUAACUAAAUAUUUCAUGUCCAUGCUGUUAUGAUUCUAUUGUGAAGUGCAAAUACAUCUUGAGGAAGAUAAAAUAUUAUGUAGGAGUAUUUGUGUAUAAUAGUCUUGUGUCUAAUUAAAUUUGGAAAAGUUUUUCACAAUACAAAGUACUGCAGAUAUGGUCUGUGUUAGGUCUUGGUCAGGCAAAUCUAGAAAUUACUUUCAGUGGUAGAAAUUUUUAUCUGUGGUAGAAUGCAAAAAUGACCAAAAUUUUUAAGCAUUCCAAAGUUCAUGACCUUGCCAAGUAACUUUAUAGUAAAUUUAUAUAUAUAUUUUUAAAAUUUCCCCCAUGGUGACCCUGACCUGGCCAAAAGAAAUAAAAAUGACACUUUGUCAAUUAGGAAUGUGGAUAUCAUGAAUCCUUUCCAGCUUGCACCUCUGUUAUUGCUAUAAACAUGAGCUCAGACUUGCUUGCCAGAGAAUAAGUGAGUAUAGCUGAAUUGCCCUUCUCACUCUAGGUAGAGUCAGCAUUGUCUAGCCAAUAGUCAGUGCACCCUCAGGCAUGUGAGUCUGAAACCCAACAAACUCCAAAUUGAGCAGAGACUAAAUCACCAGCACACAGCUAAAUAAGUACUAUUAUUGACUUGUGAUGAUUCCUCUAUUAAGAUACAUUUGGUACAGAAAGCGGCAUCAGGAGCAGGAUGAUGACAUAUAAAACUAAAAUAUUUAGCAAUAAUUCAGGAAUCAAGAGGUAGGUAAAGGGAAAAUACUUAGUAAGAUGAUCUGACACUAUCAAGGGAGUUGCCAUAGAAAAGUAAAACAUGGUAACAUUCUGUAGCUGCAAAACAUUUGAUAAAACUCUUACUAACAAAUGUCUUAUCUUGGACACAGAGAGUGAGUUAAAUACAGCAGUUGAGUUAAAUACAGCAGUUGCCGGAAAAAAUGCUAUAGUAAAGAGAGGAGCUCAGAACAGUGCUGGAAGUAGGCAAAUAGAAAGAAGGAGAGAGGGCCUAGAAUCUAGGCUGAAAUAUAGAAUUGUUUCUAUUUCUAGCAUUUCGUGCUAUACGUGACCCCAUGGAUAAGGCGAAAUCAUGACUAUUGCUAUGGAUCAUUUUUUAAAAAGACUUAUUUACUUAUUUGAAAGUCAGAGUUAGAGAAAGAAAGAGACGGAAAGUCAAAAAGAGAGCUCUUCCAUCCACUGGUUCACUCUUCAGGUGGUCACAGUAGCCAGGGGUGGGCCAGACCAAAGCCAGGAGCCAGGAGAUUUGCCCAGGUGUCACAAGUAGGUGACAGGGACCCAAACACUUGCCCCGUCUUCCACUGCUUUUCUCAGGAUACUAGUAGGGAGAUAGAUCAGAAGUGGAGCAGCUGGGACCCAAAUUGGUACCCAUACGGGUUGCUGGUAUUGCAACCAGUGGCUUUACCUGCUGUGGUAGAAUACCAGCCCCAAAAUGGAUCAAUUUUUUAAGACUUCUGAAAGAAUUAAGUAGUUAAUGGUAUAUUCCCUCACCUGAGCAAAAAUGACUUAGAAACUGAAUGUCAUGGUUCCGAAGAAGUUGUUAUAACCCAAGUAUCAGAAUCAAAAGUUAUAAAGAGAUGUACAUUUCAAAAGAAAACAAUAACAGAAAAUUGAAUAUGACUUUGGGACUUAAAGUGGACUAUAUCAAAUAUUGAAAACACUCAACAUUUCUGAGAGUUUCUUUAGUGAAAGAAUCUAUAGGCUAAUCUGAACUGAGACUUUUCAAAGUGUAGAUAGGCCUUUAGGACACUGAAUUUAAAUAUAUGAUCAGAAAUCAAUUGAGUUAUCUUAACAAGUCGUAUUCUUGAAUGUUGUUUUGAGAAGUGGAAAAGAGUUCAUAGAAAAGAAAAAACAGGAGUAGGCAUUUUGGCAUAGCACUUAAGCCUCUGCCUGUGAUGCCAACAUCCAAAAGGGUGCCUGUUCUAGUCCUAGGUGCUCCACUUCUGAUCCAACUCCCUGCUAAUGUGCCUGGGAAAGCAACAGAGAGUGACCCAAAUGUUUGGGCCCCUGCACCCAUGUGGGAAACCCAGAAGAAGCUCCUGGCUCCUGGCUUCGGCCUGGAGAGUGAGCCAGUAGAUGGAAAAUCUCUGUCUUUCCUUCUCUUUCUCUCUCUGUAAAAUCGAUCUCUCUCACUCUCUCUUUCUCUCUCUCUCUCUUCUCUCCAUCUCUCUUCUCUUUCUGUCACCUCCUCUCUCUGUAACUCUGCCCUUUAAAAUAAAGAUAAGAUGAAAAAAAAAAAAAAGAAAUAAAGAAAGAAAAGGAAAAACAUUCCAGAAGGCAGAGCUAAAAACUGUGAAAUAAUGGGAAAACCUUCAUAGUAUCAGUAUUGGGCCAAGAAUAUUCCCAGUAUCCAGAAUAGACAAUCUAGCUAUAACUGCCCAGUGUACUAUCAGAAUUUCUAGAUGAGUAAUUACAAAAGAACUUCCAUCUUUUGUCUUUACAAAUGAAAGUAUUUAUUGGUAUGAUCCCACCACUGUUUCACCACAGUAUGUUGGAUAAAAGUGGUAUGGAAUACUUGUCUUCUUUAAAAAAAAAAUCCAGAUCAGGAGCAACAAAACUAGGCAGAGAUUGAUGAGCAUAUCAGUUAAGUUGCCCAAUGAGCCAUCCAUGUCCUAUAGUGGAGUGCCCUGGUUAGAAUCCAAGCUCCAGCUCCCCACUCCAGGUUUCUACUAAUCUAGACCCUGUAAGACAGCAAUGAUAGCUCAAGUAAUUGGGUUUCUGUGGGAGACCUGGAUUGAGUUCACAGGUCCCAGCUUUGGCUUGGCCCAUUCUUAACCAUUAGAGGCAUUUGAGGAUAAACCAACAUGUGAGGCCUCAGAAUGUCUGAAUGUCUGUCUCUCAGUAAAUGAGUCCAAUCAAGACCUGAAAAUUGCCUAUAGGAGCCCAGUGUCUUUUUAAGACAAUAUUAUAUUAAGUUACUUAUUCUUUGGCACUUCUGUGACCAUAUUGGAUAUAUUUUAAAUUUUUAAUGAAAUACUUUAUAUAAAUAUAAAAGUAUUAGUAAUCUUAAGGCUUGUAUAUCAAAGUUAAGAAAUAAACAUUCCAGAUCCAUUUGAAGACUCUGUUGUAUAACUUGACAUCCAAUUUCCCUUUUUCAGUAUUUUUGGAGAUCAGCACAUUCUUAUAUAUUUAUUCUUCAGCAUUUCCACAGUUUACCAUGUAUUUUUAUAUAAACUAAAUAUAUCAUUAUUUUACUUUUCAAAAAUUGUUACCUUUCUUUGUAACCUGUAAUAACUUUUAUUAACUAGUAUUAUGUAUUUUUAACAUUUAAUAAUUUAAAGCACAUUGCUCCCAUUCAAUCUUUUUCAUUAUCUUAUUACAUUAUGUUGUAUAGGUGUGCCACAAUGUACUAAAGAUGUUUCAUCUACUUGAGUACUAUUUUAUCAUUUUAGGCCAUGGGACAUCAUUUUCUGUACUAUUUAGAUGUAGAAAUUUGUUUUUAAAUUUUAUGUCCAUUGUUCUAAGUUGCUGAGGCAAUGAAAAGUCCUUAGACCAGCAUGUAUUUUAUUCCUGCUUCUGGAUUUGUGUCAUGCACUCAGCUAACUAACACUAAAUGUAAUACUAUCCACACUGACAUAUUCCACACCUUUGCAAAACAGGCAAAGUUUAUGAAGAUGUAGACUGGUUUCAACUACCAGGAACGUUAAGAAAGUUUUCAAAAUAAAACCUCUUUAAUGACUUUAUAUAGUUGUAGUCAUUAUGAUAUCACUCCUGGAGAAUAAUUUGCAUUAAUUGUUUACAGUUUGAAAGAGUCAGAACAAACUACUCAGCGAUUCAGUUUUUAGCUUCAGCCUGGCAUCAUCACUCUUGGUGGGAAUUAAGAUACAGAUUGGUUCACACCUUGUACUUAGAAGGUGGUAUUGAAAUUUGACAGGUGCAACAGAUGCCUCUUAAUUGGGUAGUUCUUAAGAAAUUGGAACACAAUUAUAUUAAACGUUUAUUUUAUUUUUCAGAAUAUCUCUUAGUGAUACUACAUGAGGUUUGCUUUUCCUGAAAAGAUACAAACAUGUUACUUUUACAAAGCAAUUCAAGUGUGCAAGGUGAGGGAAACUAUUGUUUCAGAAACAGAAAAGGCAAGGUGUUCAAGUAAAAUACUUGAUCUCUAUUGUGGAUGAUGGCUGUGAUGCAUAAUGUUGACCUUACCAAAGUCCCUAUGUUGAAAUUAUAGAUUCCACUUCAUUCACUAUUGAGAAGAGUUUAAUGUUGAAAUUUAUGGAAAUCUAAAUUUAUCCUUAUUAAAGAAUCCUGUAAGUAAAUUUUAUGUCGCAAGACAAAACUUGUAAAGUUAGAAAUGAUUGACACCAGUAAUUACUCUAAAGAUUCAAUUAUUUUUACUAAACAAUAUUUUUUAAAAAUUUGUUUAUAUGAAAGUCAGAGUCACACAGAGAGAGAAGGAGAGGCAGAUAGAGAAAGAGGAAGAGAGAUACAGAGAGAGAGAGAGAGGUCUUCCAUCCGCUGGCUAACCCCUCAAAUGGCUGUAAUGGCUGGAACUGCACCAAUCUAAAGCCAGGAGCCAGAGCUUCUUCUGGGUCUCCCAUGCAGGUGCAGGGCCCAAGGAACCAGACCAUCUUCUACUAUUUUUGCAGGCCAUAGCAGAGAGCUGGAUUGGAAGUGGAGCAGCCAGGACUAGAACUGGCACCCAUAUGGGAUGCCAGCACUGCAAGUGGCAGCCUAACCCACUACUCCACAAAGCUGACCUCAACAAUAUUUUUUUAAUUAUGAAACAGUCCGUACUUUCAUUAUCAUAAUAUACAAGACUUAGGGUCCUUAUAAACCAAGGAGAGUUUACAUGAAGUAAUUCUCAAGAAUUUCCCUUAAAAUUACGUAUUUUAUAAUCAUAUUAUUCUCAUUUUUAUUUUGAAUUAUACUUCUCUAAACUUUAAAAAUAAUUUGAAGAGGAUGGCUCUGUGGUACAGAUAGUUAAAGCCCUGGCCUACAAUGUCAGCAUCCUGUAUGAGUGCCAGUCUUGUCCCAGUUGCUGCACUUCAGAUCCAGCUACCUGCUAAUGCACCUGGGAAAGCAGCAGAGGAUGGUUCAAGUUCUUGAGCCCCUGCACCCACAUCAGAAAUCUAGAAGAAGCUCCUGGUCUCUGGCUUCUGGCUUCAUCUGGCCUAUCUCUGGCCAUUGUUGCCAUUUGAGGAGUGAACUAACAGAUGGAAGGCCACUCUCUUUGCCUCUACUCUUUGUGUAACUCUGUCUUUCAAAUAAAUAAAAUAAAUCUUCAAAAAAAAUUAAGUGAACAUCAUUUUAGGUAUAUAUUAUCUAAAAAUUUCAAUAUAAAAUGUGUGAAUCACAAUGGCAAAUGAUUGAAUACUACAUCAGUUGA
Molecule: long non-coding RNA, 7694 nt
Organism: Oryctolagus cuniculus (rabbit)
Lineage: Eukaryota; Metazoa; Chordata; Mammalia; Lagomorpha; Leporidae
Source: RefSeq, a predicted model, not a curated record